UAUCUCCUGCCGUGUUCGACAGUGUGCUGGGUGUUUCCUGAACCUGUAUUACCCCAGGGGGCUGAUGCCUGUCAUGGUGCGCAUGCCCGCUUUAUGCGGGAAGCCUGAUUGGCCGGCCACGCCCCCACUUGAACCGCCGGUUCAAGGACGAAAGCACACACCGGCACAGGCGGGAGAUGC
RNAcentral lists this non-coding RNA (180 nucleotides) under Methylovulum sp. Its description in RNAcentral is "6S RNA". It matches the Rfam family "6S / SsrS RNA". From Rfam's summary of the family: E. coli 6S RNA was the first non coding RNA to be sequenced, but its function was unknown until recently. It consists of 184 nucleotides that fold into an extended hairpin structure with a large single-stranded internal bulge. Lineage: Bacteria; Pseudomonadati; Pseudomonadota; Gammaproteobacteria; Methylococcales; Methylococcaceae. The record is from RNAcentral.